Molecule: unclassified non-coding RNA, 240 nt
Filed under: soil metagenome
Description: partial contains 5.8S ribosomal RNA, internal transcribed spacer 2, and large subunit ribosomal RNA
Source: RNAcentral
AACGCACGAGACCUGCGGACCUGCGGAAGGAUCAUUACCGAGUUCUCGAACUCCCAAACCCCACGCGAACCUUACCCAUCGUUGCUUCGGCGGUCGACGCCGGGGGCGCCCCCGCGGCCCCCCGGCCCGCCCGCCGGAGGCCCAAAACACGCAUCUCUUCAGCGGGCGGACCCCCCCAAAGGGGCGCGCGCACAUCUGAUUGGCCCCACGCGGGCUCUAAAAAAAGCAAAUGAAUCAAAA